This is a small nuclear RNA of Meriones unguiculatus (Mongolian gerbil), 107 nucleotides long. Lineage: Eukaryota; Metazoa; Chordata; Mammalia; Rodentia; Muridae. The record is from Ensembl.
GCGAUCGCUUCAGCAGCACAUGUAGUAAAACUGGGAAAAUACACGGAAGAUUAGCAAGGGCCCUGCGCAAGAAUAGCACAAAAAUGCAUGAAGGAUUGUAAAACAAA